UGGGGAAUUUUGGACAAUGGGCGAAAGCCUGAUCCAGCAAUGCCGCGUGUGUGAAGAAGGCCUUCGGGUUGUAAAGCACUUUUGUCCGGAAAGAAAUGGCUCUGGUUAAUACCUGGGGUCGAUGACGGUACCGGAAGAAUAAGGACCGGCUAACUACGUGCCAGCAGCCGCGGUAAUACGUAGGGUCCAAGCGUUAAUCGGAAUUACUGGGCGUAAAGCGUGCGCAGGCGGUUGUGCAAGACCGAUGUGAAAUCCCCGAGCUUAACUUGGGAAUUGCAUUGGUGACUGCACGGCUAGAGUGUGUCAGAGGGGGGUAGAAUUCCACGUGUAGCAGUGAAAUGCGUAGAGAUGUGGAGGAAUACCGAUGGCGAAGGCAGCCCCCUGGGAUAACACUGACGCUCAUGCACGAAAGCGUGGGGAGCAAACAGGAUUAGAUACCCUGGUAGUCCACGCCCUAAACGAUGUCAACUAGUUGUUGGGGGAUUCAUUUCCUUAGUAACGUAGCUAACGCGUGAAGUUGACCGCCUGGGGAGUACGGUCGCAAGAUUAAAA
Molecule: ribosomal RNA, 552 nt
Filed under: uncultured bacterium
Lineage: Bacteria
Description: partial 16S ribosomal RNA
Rfam family: Bacterial small subunit ribosomal RNA
Source: RNAcentral